GGGUGGGAGGCAGAUGCAGAUUGCUGUCUUCUCCCUUCAGACCUUGCUGCUGGUCCAGGGGUGAAACCUGGACCUGGAGGAAGGAUAGGGGCUACCAGGACUGCCUGCCACCGAGUACCUGGAGGAGCCCUGAGUACCCAGAUGAGCUGGAGGGACUCGCUCAAGGGACCGAGUAGGAAGGAGCCCAGGGACAGAACUGCACAGUGCGACUGGGGAAACUGAGGUAGAGUAUUUCAAACUAAGAGAAGUGACCCAAGUUCAGAUAGUGAUUCCGGCGAUAGAGUUUAACCACAAAGCUAUCCAUCCUCCUGGUACUAACAGAGAGAAGAAUGCCAUCUAUUGAACCACCAACACAACUUCCUGAAGAAGCUGGGUGCUCCUUGGAAGUCUCCUACUCAGUGGACGUACCUGACUAUGGUCUGUUUAGGACCCAUUUUAUACUGCAACAGCAUGUCAGAUUUGAAGACCCUACAUAGGAAUGCAAGGCUCUUCUUCUCCUAAGACUCAAGCUAGAACCUUGCUUAAAGAUGUUGUGACGCUCUCUACCUCGG
This is a long non-coding RNA of Mauremys mutica (yellowpond turtle), 551 nucleotides long. RefSeq lists it as uncharacterized. The record is from RefSeq and is a predicted model, not a curated record. NCBI's taxonomy places the organism in Eukaryota, Metazoa, Chordata, Testudines, Geoemydidae. The transcript is spliced from 3 exons.